Molecule: ribosomal RNA, 206 nt
Filed under: uncultured bacterium
Lineage: Bacteria
Description: partial 16S ribosomal RNA
Rfam family: Bacterial small subunit ribosomal RNA
Source: RNAcentral
GGAUUGGAGUCUGCAACUCGACUCCAUGAAGUCGGAAUCGCUAGUAAUCGUGGAUCAGCAUGCCACGGUGAAUACGUUCCCGGGUCUUGUACACACCGCCCGUCACACCAUGGGAGCUGGUAACACCCGAAGUCAGUAGUCUAACCGCAAGGAGGACGCUGCCGAAGGUGGGAUUAGCGACUGGGGUGAAGUCGUAACAAGGUAGC